RNAcentral lists this ribosomal RNA (507 nucleotides) under uncultured bacterium. Its description in RNAcentral is "partial 16S ribosomal RNA". It matches the Rfam family "Bacterial small subunit ribosomal RNA", at positions 28 to 507 of the family's 1533-position model. The record is from RNAcentral.
GACGAACGCUGGCGGCGUGCCUAAUACAUGCAAGUCGAACGCAUUUUCUUUCACCUUGUCUUGCUACACCGAGAGAAAGUCGGUUGCGUACCGGGUAGUAACUCUUCCUUAACCUGCCCAUCAGCGUGGGAUAACACUUGCUAACACGUCCUAAUACCUCAUAAUUCCAUUUACCGCAUUGUAAAUUGCUAUAGCGCCCUUUUGCGUCACUCACGCAUUGUCCCGCGGUGCAUGAGCUAGUUGGGGGGGUAAAGGCCUACCAAGGCAGCGAUCCAUAGCCGAACUGAGAGGGUGAUCGGCCACACUGGGACUGAGACACGGCCCAGACUCCUACGGGAGGCAGCAGUAGGGAAUCUUCGGCAAUGGACGAAAGUCUGACCGAGCAACGCCGCGUGAGUGAAGAAGGUUUUCGGAUUGUAAAACUCUGUUGUUAGAGAAGAACAAGGAUGAGAGUGGAAAGCUCAUCAAGUGACGGUAACUAACCAGAAAGCGACGGCUAACUACGUG